This is a long non-coding RNA of Alexandromys fortis (reed vole), 2462 nucleotides long. RefSeq lists it as uncharacterized. The record is from RefSeq and is a predicted model, not a curated record. NCBI's taxonomy places the organism in Eukaryota, Metazoa, Chordata, Mammalia, Rodentia, Cricetidae. The transcript is spliced from 3 exons.
GCAAAUAAAUAACACAGCCACAGAGCCGUAACUGUGAAUACAGCAUUUAGACUGCAGGCCUAGAGGCCAAAGACAAACCGCUCCAGCGCUUCUCAAGCCUCCUCGGUGUGUUGGCACUGGCUUCCAGGCUUGAACGUCCACCAAGUCACCUAAGGCUUCUGUCUGUGCGCUUAUCAAGUCAUGGCAAGUGCAAGGAAAACCUAACUCACUGAAAAUAGCAAAGCCGUUCUAUGCUAACAGAAACUGCACAAUGUCUUAAGCUGAGCAGAUAUAUUUUACAAAUUGAUUAGAAAUGUGUGACUCAGCAGCAGCACAAAUUCCCGAGAGGAGAUGGUUGAUCGCUGUCUCUACUACAGCUCACUCACUGAAGGUGCAGUCAGCGACGCCGUGAAGACAUCCAGCCUGAGUGGACAGCAGGACCAGGACUCUCUUCCCCUUCUCAGAAUCCCAGACAUCAAAAAUUAAAUUACCGACGAGGAACUGUAUAUGUGAGAAAGUUAAAAAGUGAUGUCGUGCACACUGGGGAUGGGCAGGCCCUGAGAAGACAAGGCAGGAUGUCAUGCUGGUCCUUCGCCCAGAAGCAACCUGAGACUAAUGAACGCAAAUCAAUGACACAAACGGCAAACCUUGGGGAGAAGCUGAUCGCCACUGAGUCACGGCAUUAUUAGAUACAAAUUUCCAAUUUUAACCAAAACAAAAAAAUCACAGUGCCUACAAAGAAACAGCAAAGCAUUGUACAUUUCAGGGGGAAAGCAAAAAGAAACCGUCAAUAAAAAAGAUAACUCACCAACACUGUCCUGAGGUUUCUAGAGAGCUAAAGUGGAUAGAUAGGAAGCCAGUCACAUGAUGGGAAACGAAACGGAAAUGCAACCUGAGCAGCAGCUGCUAACUAUAUGUGAGAAGACAAUGCAGAAAAAAAAUACUAAGAUUAACCUAGGGGUGGGCAAUGGUCACCCCAGAGUAUAUGACACAAAAUACUCCAGGGGCGGAGAGUUAUUGCCCAGCCUGGGGUCUUUGCAGAAGCCAUACCUGGCCCAAAGAAAGAUAUGUAAGAACAUCUGGAAGAAUAGUAAACAGUAAUGAAGGAGUUUAAACAAGAGCAUCUUGCAUAAACAGAAAAGGACAAUCCCGAGUCAUGAGGUGGUUGAGUAAAAAUUCCAGUUACAGCUAUCAGUUCCCUCCACGUGAAGUGCUGGUCAGUUGUGCCCCAGAGGCCCCACAAACCAUAUGUGCUGUUGCCGUUGCCAUUGGCUGUGCUCCAUGACUAGAUGACAAGACCCUAUUGCUGAAGACGCCACAUCAUUUCCCUUCAGGACACUGAGAAAUAAAUCCAAGACUAAACAAGAAGCUCCCUCCUUACUGGCUAGCUUUCACAGUGCCAGACAGUGCUAUGCAGGCUGCUGGGAGAGGAUUCUCACCAACGGUCCUGGUCAGCUAUGAACCUUGUGAAACAUGAUACCAACAUACCAGACAAUAUGUGUCCACUGGCGCAAUAGUGGCACUACUGAUAUGACCAUAGCCACCGACUUUCCCACCAGAUUUACGGUCAGCUCCACAUGGGGGAACAUAUGACUUAUACAGUAAGCCAAGGCAAAAGCCUGUAGCUGGAAGUCCACAGGCCUCAGGGGGAAGUAGCUGUUAUUGAUUUGUUGAAUAGAUGUGAUGUGCCUGACAAACUUCUUUCUAAAUACUCGUGCCUAUUGAUCACUGAUGCUGUCAGCUGCACAUGAAAGGAAGCUUGCUGUGGGAUAAUGUUUCUGUACAUACACUGUAAAGAUUUGUCACUCAUAUUGGUUUAAUAAAACACCGACUGGACAGUAGCCAGGCAGGAAGUAUAGGCGAGGCAACCAGACAAGUAGAAUUCUGGGAAGAGGAAAGGCAGAGAGAUGCAGAGGAAGCAAGAUGAAAAUGCCUCACUGAGAAAAGGUACCAAGCUACAUGACUAAACAUAGACAAGAAUUAUGGAUUUAUUUAAGUUGUAAGAGCUAGUUAAUAAUAAUCCUGAGCUAAUAGGCCAAACCGUUUAUAAUUAAUAUAAGCCUCUGUAUGUUUCUUUGGAACUGAACAACGUGGCAUCCAGCAGAACAGAAGCUUCCUUUUUGUAAUAGGUGGCAUACCACAGAGAUGCAAAGAUAACAGGUGACUCUCACUGUCCAGUGCCAAGCCAUAAUUGGACAUCUAUAGUGCCGAUUCUCAGGGAGCAUAAUGGAAGAGGUGGCAUAAAGAACUGGAGGAAUUUUCUCUCAAUUCCACAUUCCUUGUUUAGAGAGAAGAAAGGCUCAUGAAACUUAAAAAGUAAACAAAACUCACAAGUCUCAGGAAGUUCCUGAAACAAGAUUCACAAGGCUCUUCCUAAGGUUAUAUAGGCAGUAACAACUGCUAGAAAAGGAAACUCCCCCAACCUGUUCAGCCACCUGACAUCAUGCAGAAAGCUCUGUAUAAAUUGUCUAGGAAGAUAAAUA